GACCUCGGAUCAGGUAGGGAUACCCGCUGAACUUAU
RNAcentral lists this ribosomal RNA (36 nucleotides) under Ophiocordyceps sinensis. RNAcentral's name for it is "partial 28S ribosomal RNA". Lineage: Eukaryota; Fungi; Ascomycota; Sordariomycetes; Hypocreales; Ophiocordycipitaceae. The record is from RNAcentral.